RNAcentral lists this small RNA (563 nucleotides) under Pongo abelii (Sumatran orangutan). Its description in RNAcentral is "processed transcript". The record is from RNAcentral. Lineage: Eukaryota; Metazoa; Chordata; Mammalia; Primates; Hominidae.
GCGGCCGCUUCCCCCGCGCCGAGCGAGGAGGCAGGCUGUGGCGGCGAGAGGCGGCUGCGCGGCCAUGGGCGCGCCAGUGUCGCCCUAGGGCGGGCGCACAGACCACAGCCGGAGCGGUGGCUGCAGCCUCCACGGAAAGCCUUCCCGGGUGGCGGCGGCGGCCCCUGGAGCAGCGCGGCCGGGAUGAGCGGGAGCGGCGCGGCGCCCGGCCCGAGCUCGGGCUCCUCCCCGGCCGCCUGCCGCUUCGCGCACUAUUUCGUGCUGUGCGGGAUCGACGCAGACAGCGGGCUGGAGCCUGACGAGCUGGCGGGUGAAAAUUUUGACCAGAGUCCUUUGAGAAGAACAUUCAAAUCCAAAGUUCUCGCCCACUAUCCUCAGAAUAUAGAAUGGAACCCUUUUGAUCAAGAUGCGGUGAACAUGAUUAUCAACGCCUGAUGACUGUGGCAGAAGGCAUCACCACACUUUUGUUCCCAUUUCAAUGGCAACAUGUUUAUGUGCCCAUUCUACCUGCUUCUCUGCUACAUUUUCUUGAUGCUCCUGUCCCUUAUCUGAUGGGCCUUCAG